This 251-nucleotide long non-coding RNA is filed under the name Brassica napus (rape). RNAcentral describes it as "long non-coding RNA (BNAP_LNC011060)". Lineage: Eukaryota; Viridiplantae; Streptophyta; Magnoliopsida; Brassicales; Brassicaceae. The record is from RNAcentral.
UUUUAAAAUACUAUUGGUUUAGAAAUAUGGGAAAUUGGUAAAUACAGAAAAUAAUAGAUUUACUAUCAAAAUUUAUUCUGUUUUAGUAAUAUGUGUAAAACACACAUCAUACAUAUUUUAGGAAUAUGGAGUAUUAUUUAACGAUUGUUUAUUUUAAAUAUAGAAUUACUGAACCAUAAUAACACAUUUGAUUUUUUGGGAACCUUUUUUUUUUAAAUCUGAAUCGGCCGGUCAAACAAAUAAAACCACAA